Artibeus jamaicensis (Jamaican fruit-eating bat) is the source of this 164-nucleotide small nuclear RNA. RefSeq annotates it as U1 spliceosomal RNA. Lineage: Eukaryota; Metazoa; Chordata; Mammalia; Chiroptera; Phyllostomidae. The transcript has a single exon. The record is from RefSeq and is a predicted model, not a curated record.
CUACUUACCUGGCAGGGGAGAUACCAUGAUCACGAAGGUGGUUUUCCUAGGGUACAGCUUAUCUAUUGCACUCCGGACAUGUUGACCCCUGUGAUUUCCCCAAAUGUGGGAGACUUGACUGCAUAAUUUGUGGAAGUGAGGGACUGUGUUUGUGCUCUCCCCUG